GCAGUCGAGCGGAGUGAUAGUGCUUGCACUAUCACUUAGCGGCGGACGGGUGAGUAAUGCUUAGGAAUCUGCCUAUUAGUGGGGGACAACAUUUCGAAAGGAAUGCUAAUACCGCAUACGUCCUACGGGAGAAAGCAGGGGAUCUUCGGACCUUGCGCUAAUAGAUGAGCCUAAGUCGGAUUAGCUAGUUGGUGGGGUAAAGGCCUACCAAGGCGACGAUCUGUAGCGGGUCUGAGAGGAUGAUCCGCCACACUGGGACUGAGACACGGCCCAGACUCCUACGGGAGGCAGCAGUGGGGAAUAUUGGACAAUGGGCGCAAGCCUGAUCCAGCCAUGCCGCGUGUGUGAAGAAGGCCUUAUGGUUGUAAAGCACUUUAAGCGAGGAGGAGGCUACUUUAGUUAAUACCUAGAGAUAGUGGACGUUACUCGCAGAAUAAGCACCGGCUAACUCUGUGCCAGCAGCCGCGGUAAUACAGAGGGUGCAAGCGUUAAUCGGAUUUACUGGGCGUAAAGCGCGCGUAGGCGGCUAAUUAAGUCAAAUGUGAAAUCCCCGAGCUUAACUUGGGAAUUGCAUUCGAUACUGGUUAGCUAGAGUGUGGGAGAGGAUGGUAGAAUUCCAGGUGUAGCGGUGAAAUGCGUAGAGAUCUGGAGGAAUACCGAUGGCGAAGGCAGCCAUCUGGCCUAACACUGACGCUGAGGUGCGAAAGCAUGGGGAGCAAACAGGAUUAGAUACCCUGGUAGUCCAUGCCGUAAACGAUGUCUACUAGCCGUUGGGGCCUUUGAGGCUUUAGUGGCGCAGCUAACGCGAUAAGUAGACCGCCUGGGGAGUACGGUCGCAAGACUAAAACUCAAAUGAAUUGACGGGGGCCCGCACAAGCGGUGGAGCAUGUGGUUUAAUUCGAUGCAACGCGAAGAACCUUACCUGGCCUUGACAUAGUAAGAACUUUCCAGAGAUGGAUUGGUGCCUUCGGGAACU
RNAcentral lists this ribosomal RNA (976 nucleotides) under Acinetobacter sp. Its description in RNAcentral is "bacterial SSU rRNA". It matches the Rfam family "Bacterial small subunit ribosomal RNA", at positions 57 to 1028 of the family's 1533-position model. Lineage: Bacteria; Pseudomonadati; Pseudomonadota; Gammaproteobacteria; Moraxellales; Moraxellaceae. The record is from RNAcentral.